Molecule: long non-coding RNA, 33424 nt
Filed under: Triticum aestivum (bread wheat)
Lineage: Eukaryota; Viridiplantae; Streptophyta; Magnoliopsida; Poales; Poaceae
Description: long non-coding RNA (TAES_LNC024940)
Source: RNAcentral
UCGUCCUUCUCUGCCUGCAUCCGGGCUGCUUCCUCCGCUUGCAUCCGGGCCGCAUCCGCCCUCGCCGCCUCGUACUUCCUACGGUCAUUGAUCUCUAUCUUCUUGUCCGCAAGACACUUUUUUGCAUGCUCAUCCAAGAGGGUUUUGUCCGCCAACAUGAUCAUCGCAUCUUCCACGUCCCGUGCGAGUUGCAACCUCUCAUUUCUCAAGCUCUAUGUCACCAAAUGUCUUGGUCUUCUCAAGUUUCCAUUUGAUCGUCGUUUGUUCCUUCUCCAACUCGAUCUUCUCCCUCUCAAUUUCGAGCUUCUUCUCCGUCCUCUUCCAGCCCCACUACAUCCUUUCUUUUUGCGCAUCCAACAUGAGCUUGUACCUCUCCUACUUCUUGUUCUCCCUCACAGAAAAAAUGCAUGUCCAUGUGGACGGCAUUUUGGUAGCCGCGGCAUCACGGACGGCACGUGCCUUCUCCUACUUGUUUCACGUGACUUGGCGGUUAUCCUUUGGCACGGUGGCUUUUUCAUUCGUCAUGACAACAUCACCCUCUUCAUCGUCCAAGCCAAUUGAUUGGUUGGAGCUUGAGCCAUCAUUCCUCUUCUUGCCGGACUUGAGAUCGGCCACAAGUUGGUUCCACUUUAGCUUGCCACUCAAUAUGACCCAACAAUGGCUAAAAGCAAAUGGCUUCUUCUCCACCUCGUGAUACAAAGUGGCCGCAACCACCGUCUAGCAAACAACAUAUGUAUGAGCACGAGAACGCAAACACAAGAAGCAUAUGCAAAUGACGACAAGAUGAAGAAAUUGAGCUUGCGUGAGUUGCGACUCCCAUCCCACUUUAAGGGCGUUUGGUCACUUGUGAGUAGUAGCCGACGUACUUGUUCACUUCCCCUUGAAUGAUCCCCUAACGAUGUUGGAGAGAUGCCACAUUGCGGGUGGUCAUGAUAGGAUGUGGCUUCACAUACUCCUUUUGUUCGUGAUACCCCUUCCAAAUCUUCGUCCAAUACGUGUUCCCCUUUUGCUCGGUGCCACAUAUUGGAUCUAACAUUGUGUCCAACCAAUUUUUGACCAACAAGAUGUCCUCAAAUCUUGAGAAUGUCGGACCUCUUGCCUUCGGCGUCUUGGUCUUCUUCUUCUUGCUCGGAUUGGGAUCGGAUGUUGUCCCAACUUCAAAUGCGGUGGUGGCCUCCAAUUCCUAUUCCAUUUCGAUCGGAUCUUCAUUGUCAUUGAUCAUGUUCGACAAGAACGCCUCCUACACGAUUAUGGUUUACAAGCAUUCAUCAAGUGCGAAAUGUGUUGGGAACGUAGAAUUUCAAAAAAAAAAUCCUACGAUCACGCAAGAUCUAUCUAGGAGAAGCAUAGCAACGAGCGGGGAGAGUGUAUCCACGUACCCUCGUAGACCAAAAGCGGAAGCGUUUAUCAACGCGGUUGAUGUAGUCGUACGUCUUCACGAUCCGACCGAUCCUAGCACCGAACGUACGGCACCUCCGUGUUCAGUACACUUUAGCUCAGUGAUGUCCCUCGUACUCUUGAUCCAGUUUAGGCCGAGGGAGAGUUUCGUCAGCACGACGGCGUGGCGACGAUGAUGAUGAAGUUACCGGCGCAGGGCUUCGCCUAAGCACUACGACGAUAUGACUGAGGUGUGUAACUAUGGAGGGGGGCACCGCACACGGCUAAGAGAAACUUUGAUGUGCUAUUGGGGUGCCCCCUGGCCACAUAUAAAAAGGAGGGAGAUGGAGAGGCAGCCGGCCUUAGGGGGCGCGCCAAGGUGUGGAGUCCUACUAGGACUCCAUAGUCCUAGUAGGAUUCCACCUCCCACACGAAGUAGGAAAGGGGGAAGGGAGAAGGAGAAGGAAAGGGGGGCCUGCCCCCUUCUCCUAGUCCUAUUCGGCCUCCUGCCCAAGGGGGGGCGCACCAGCCCCUUGUGGGCUGGUGUGCUUCCCUCUUAUGGCCCAUAAGGCCCAUAACUUCUUCCGGGGGUUUCCGGUAACCUCCCGGUACUCCGGAAAAAUGCCCGAACCACUCGGAACCAUUCUGAUGUCCAAAUGCAACCUUCCAAUAUAUGAAUCUUUACCUCUCAACCAUUUCGAGACUCCUCGUUAUGUCCGUGAUCUCAUCCGGGACUCCGAACAAGCUUCGGUCAUCAAAUCACAUAACUCAUAAUACAAAUCGCCAUAGAACGUUAAGCGUGCGGACUCUACGGGUUCGAGAACUAUGUAGACAUGACCGAGACACAUCUCCGGUCAAUAACCAAUAGCGAAACCUGGAUGCUCAUAUUGGCUCCUACAUAUUCUACGAAGAUCUUUAUCGAUCAAACCGCAUCACAACAUACGUUGUUCCUUUUGUCAUCGGUAUGUUACUUGCCCGAGAUUCGAUCGUCGGUAUCCUCAUACCUAGUUCAAUCUCGUUACCGGCAAGUCUCUUUACUCGUUCCGUAAUGCAUCAUCCCGUAACUAACUCAUUAGUCACAUUGCUUGCAAGGCUUAUAGUGAUGUGCAUUACCGAGAGGGCCCAGAGAUACCUCUCCGAUACUCGGAGUGACAAAUCCUAAUCUCGAUCUAUGCCAACUCAACAAACACCAUCGGAGACACCUGUAGAGCAUCUUUAUAAUCACCCAGUUACGUUGUGAUGUUUGAUAGCACACAAGGUGUUCCUCCGGUAUUUGGGAGUUGCAUAAUCUCAUAGUCAGAGGAACAUGUAUAAGUCAUGAAGAAAGCAAUAGCAGUAAAACUAAACGAUCAUUAUGCUAAGCUAACAGAUGGGUCUUGUCCAUCACAUCAUUCUCUAAUGAUAUGAUCCCGUUCAUCAAAUGACAACACAUGUCUAUGGUCAGGAAACUUAACCAUCUUUGAUUAACGAGCUAGUCAAGUAGAGGCAUACUAGGGACACUUUGUUUUGUCUAUGUAUUCACACAUGUAUCAAGUUUCUGGUUAAUACAAUUCUAGCAUGAAUAAUAAACAUUUAUCAUGAUAUAAGGAAAUAUAAAUAACAACUUUAUUAUUCCCUCUAGGGCAUAUUUACUUCAGUCUUCCACUUGCACUAGAGUCAAUAAUCUAGUUCACAUCGCCAUGUGAUUUAACACCAAUAGUUCACAUCAUCAUGUGAUUUAACACUCUAUAGUUCACAUCGCCAUGUGACCAAUACCCAAAGGGUUUACUAGAGUCAAUAAUCUAGUUCACAUCUCCAUGUGAUUAACACCCAAAGAGUAAUAAGGUGUGAUCAUGUUUUGCUUGUGAGAGAGGUUUAGUCAAUGGGUCUGCCACAUUCAGAUCCGUAUGUAUUUUGCAAAUUUCUAUGUCUACAAUGCUCUGCACGGAGCUACUCUAGCUAAAUGCUCCCACUUUCAAUAUGUAUCCAGAUCGAGACUCAGAGUCAUCCAGAUCGGUGUCAAAGCUUGCAUCGAUGUAACUCUUUACGACGAACUCUUUAUCACCUCCAUAACCGAGAAAUAUUUCCUUAGUCCUCUAAGGAUAAUUUUGACCAAUGUCCAGUGAUCUACUCCUAGAUCACUAUUGUACUUCCUUGCCAAACUCAGGGCAGGGUAUACAAAUAGGUCUGGUACACAACAUGGCAUACUUUAUAGAACCUAUGGCUGAGGCAUAGGGAAUGACUUUCAUUCGCUCUCUAUCUUCUGCCGUGGUCGGGCUUUGAGUCUUACUCAACUUCACACCUUGCAACACAGGCAAGAACUCCUUCUUUGACUCUUCCAUUUUGAACUACUUCAAAAUCUUAUCAAGGUAUGCACUCAUUGAAAAAACUUAUCAAGCGUCUUGAUCUAUUUCUAUAGAUCUUGAUGCUCAAUAUGUAAGCAGCUUCACCGAGGUCUUUCUUUGAAAAACUCCUUUAUGCUUUCCAAAAAAUUCUACAUUAUUUCGGAUCAACAAUAUGUCAUUCACAUAUACUUAUUAGAAAGGCUGUAGUGCUCCCACUCACUUUUUGUAAAUACAGGCUUCACCGCAAGUCCGUAUAAAACUAUAUGCUUUGAUCAACUCAUCAAAGCGUAUAUUCCAACUCUGAGAUGCUUCCACUAGUCCAUAGAUGGAUUGCUGGAGCUUUGCACACUUUGUUAGCACCUUUAGGAUUGACAAAACCUUCUGGCUGCAUCAUAUACAACUCUUUUUUAAGAAAUCCAUUAAGGAAUGCAGGUUUGACAUCCAUUUGCCAGAUUUCAUAAAAUGCGGCAAUUGCUAACAUGAUUCGGACAGACUUAAGCAUCGAUACGAGUGAGAAAAUCUCAUCGUAGUCAACACCUUGAACUUGUCAAAAAACUUUUUUUUGACAAUUCGAGCUUUGUAGAUAGUAUCACUACCAUCAGCAUCCGUCUUCUUCUUGAAGAUUCAUUCAUUCUUAAUGGCUUGUCGAUCAUCGGGCAAGUCCACCAAAGUCCACACUUUGUUCUCAUACAUGGAUCCUAUCUUAGAUUUCAUGGCCUCAAGCCAUUUCGCGGAAUAUGGGCUCAUCAUCGCUUCCUCAUAGUCGUAGGUUUGUCAUGGUCUAGUAACAUGACUUCCAGAACAGGAUUACCGUACCACUCUGGUGCGGAUCUUACUCUGGUUGACCUACGAGUUUCAGUAGUAACUUGAUCUGAAUUUUCAUGAUCAUCAUCAUUAGCUUCCUCACUAAUUGGUGUAGGAAUCACUGGAACUAUUUUCUGUGAUGAACUACUUUCCAAUUCGGGAGCAGGUAAAAUUACCUCAUCAAGUUCUACUUUCCUCCCACUCACUUCUUUUGAGAGAAACUCCUUCUCUAGAAAGGAUCCAUUCUUAGCAACGAAUAUCUUGCCUUCGAAUCUGUGAUAGAAGGUGUACCCAACAGUUUCCUUUGGGUAUCCUAUGAAGACACAUUUCUCCGAUUUGGGUUCGAGCUUAUCAGGUUGAAGCUUUUUCACAUAAGCAUCGCAGCUCCAAACUUUAAGAAACGACAACUUAGGUUUCUUGCCAAACCACAGUUCAUAUGGUGUCAUCUCAACGGAUUUAGAUGGUGCCCUAUUUAACGUGAAUGCAGUUGUCUCUAAUGCAUAACCCCAAAAUGAUAGUGGUAAAUCGGUAAGAGACAUCAUAGAUCGCACCAUACCUAAUAAAGUACGGUUAUGACGUUCGGACACACCAUUACGCUGUGGUGUUCCAGGUGGCGUGAGUUGCGAAACUAUUCCACAUUGUUUCAAAUGAAGACCAAACUCAUAACUCAAAUAUUCGUCUCCGCGAUCAGAUCGUAGAAACUUUAUUUUCUUGUUAUGAUGAUUUUCCACUUCACUCUGAAAUUCUUUGAACUUUUCAAAUGUUUCAGACUUAUGUUUCAUCAAGUAGAUAUACCCAUAUCUGCUCAAAUCAUCUGUGAAGGUCAGAAAUAACGAUAUCGGCCGCGAGCCUCAACACUCAUCAGAUCGUAUACAUCAGUAUGUAUUAUUUCCAAUAAGUCAGUUGCUCGCUCCAUUGUUCCGGAGAACAGAGUCUUAGUCAUCUUGCCCGUGAGGCAUGGUUCGCAAGCAUCAAGUGAUUCAUAAUCAAGUGAUUCCAAAAGCCCAUCAUCAUGGAGUUUCUUCAUGCGCUUUACACCAAUAUGACCUAAAUGGCAGUGCCACAAAUAAGUUGCACUAUCAUUAUUAACUUUGCAUCUUUGGGCAUCAAUAUUAUGAAUAUGUGUAUCACUACGAUCGAGAUUCAAUAAACCUUUUAUAUUGAGUGUAUGACCAUAGAAGGUUUUAUUCAUGUAAAUAGAACAACAAUUAUUCUUUGGCUUAAAUGAAUAACUGUAUUGCAAUAAACAUGAUCCAAUCAUAUUCAUGCUCAACGCUGACACCAAAUAACAUUUAUUUUAGGUUCAACACUAAUCCCGAAGGUAAAGGGAGUGUGCGAUGGUGAUCUUAUCAACCUUGGAAUCACUUCCAACACACAUCAUCACCUCGCCCUUAACUAGUCUCUGUUUAUUUUGCAACUCCCGUUUUGAGUUACUACUCUUAGCAACUGAACCAGUAUCAAAUACCGAGGUGUUCCUAUAAACACUAGUAAAGUACACAUCAAUAACAUGUAUAUCCAAUAUACUUUUGUUCACUUUGCCAUCCUUCUUAUCCGCCAAGUAUCUAGGGCAGUUCCACUUCCAGUGACCAUUUCCUUUGCAGUAGAAGCACUCAGUUUCAGGCUUGGGUCUAGCUUUGGGCUUCUUCAUGGGAGUGACAACUUUCUUGUCAUUCCUUUUGAAGUUUACCUUUCUUUCCCUUGCCCUUGAAACUAGUGGUCUUGUAAACCAUCAACACUUGAUGUUUUUUCUUGAUUUCUACCUUCGCCGAUUUUAGCAUCACGAAGAGCUUGGGAAUCGUUUCUGUUAUCCCUUGCAUAUUAUAGUUCAUCACGAAGUUCUAAUAACUUGGUGAUAGUGACUAGAGAACUCUGCACGGAGCUACUCUAGCUAAUAGCUCCCAUUUCCAAUAUGUAUCCAGAAUGAGACUUAGAGUCAUCUGGAUCAGUGUCAAAAACUUGCAUCGACGUAACCCUUUAUGACGAACCUUUUUUCACUUCCAUAAUCGAGAAACAUAUCCUUAUUCUACUAAGGAUAAUUUUGACCGCUGUCCAGUGAUCUACUCCUAGAUCACUAUUGUACUCCCUUGCCAAACUCAGUGGUAGGGUAUACAAUAGAUCUGGUACACAGCAUGGCAUACUUUGUAGAACCUAUGGCAUAGGGAAUGACUUUCAUUCUCUUUCUAUCUUCUGCCGUGGUCGGCCUUUGAGUCUUACUCAAUUUCACACCGUGUAACACAGGCAAGAACUCUUUCUUUGACUGUUCCAUUUUGAACUACUUCAAAAUCUUGUUAAGGUAUGUACUCAUUGAAAAAAAACUUAUCAAGCGUCUUGAUCUAUCUCUAUAGAUCUUGAUGCUCAAUAUCUAAGCAGCUUCACCGAGGUAUUUCUUUGAAAAACUCCUUUCAAACACUCCUUUAUGCUUUGCAGAAUAAUUCUACAUUAUUUCCGAUCAACAAUAUGUCAUUCACAUAUACUUAUCAGAAAUGAUGUAGUGCUCCCACUCACUUUCUUGUAAAUACAGGCUUCACCGCAAGUCUGUAUAAAACUAUAUCCUUUGAUCAACUUAUCAAAGCGUAUAUUCCAACUCCGAGAUGCUUGCACCAGUCCAUAGAUGGAUCGCUGGAGCUUGCAUAUUUUGUUAGCACCUUUAGGAUUGACAAAACCUUCUGGUUGCAUCAUAUACAACUCUUCUUUAAUAAAUCCAUUAAGGAAUGCAGUUUUGUUUAUCCAUUUGCCAGAUUUCAUAAAAUGCGGCAAUUGCUAACAUGAUUUGGACAUACUUAAGCAUAGAUACGAGUGAGAAACUCUCAUCGUAGUCAACACCUUGAACUUGUCGAAAACCUUUUUGCGACAAUUCUAGCUUUGUAGAUAGUAACACUACUAUCAGCGUCCGUCUUCCUCUUGAAGAUCCAUUUAAUCUCAAUGGCUCGCCGAUCAUUGGGCAAGUCAAUCAAAGUUCAUACUUUGUUCUCAUACAUGGAUCUCAUCUCAGAUUCCAUGGCCUCAAGCCAUUUUGCGGAAUCUGGGCUCAUCAUUGCUUCCUCAUAGUUCGCAGGUUCGUCAUGGUCAAGUAACAUGAGCUCCAGAACAGGAUUACCGUACCACUCUGGUGCAGAUCUCACUCUGGUUUACCUACGAGGUUCGGUAGUAACUUGAUCUGAAGUUACAUGAUCAUCAUCAUUAGCUUCCUCACUAAUUGGUGUAGUAGUCACAGGAACAGAUUUCUGUGAUGAACUACUUUCCAAUAAGGGAGCAGGUACAGUUACCUCAUCAAGUUCUACUUUCCUCCUACUCACUUCUUUCGAGAGAAACUCCUUCUCUAGAAAUGAUCCAUUCUCAGCAACGAAAGCUUGCCUUCGGAUCUGUGAUAGAAGGUGUACCCAACAGUUUCUUUUGGGUAUCCUAUGAAGAUUUACUUCUCCGAUUUGGGUUCGAGCUUAUCAUGUUGAAACUUUUUCACAUAAGCAUCGCAGUCCCAAACUUUAAGAAACGACAACUUGGGUUUCUUGCCAAACCACAGUUCAUAUGGUGUCGUCUCAACGGAUUUAGAUGGUGCCCUAUUAAUCGUGAAUGCAGCUGUCUCUAAUGCAUAACCCCAAAAUUAUAGUGGUAAAUUGGUAAGAGACAUCAUAGAUUGUACCGUAUCUUAAUAAAGUACUGUUAUGACGUUCGGACACACCAUUACGAUGUGGUGUUCCAGGCGGCAUGAGUUUGUGAAACUAUUCCACAUUGUUUUAAUUGAAGACCAAACUCGUAACUCAAAUAUUCGUCUCCGUGAUCAGAUCGUGGAAACUUUAAUUUUCUUGUUACGACGAUUCUCCACUUCACUCUGAAAUUCUUUGAAUUUUUCAAAUGUUUCAGACUUGUGUUUCAUCAAGUAGAUAUACCCAUAUCUGCUCAAAUCAUCUAUGAAGGUCAGAAAAUAACGAUACCCGCCGCGAGCCUCAACACUCAUCGGAUCGCAUACAUCAGUAUGUAUUAUUUCCAAUAAGUCAGUUGCUCGGUCCAUUGUUCCGGAGAACGGAGUCUUAGUCACCUUGCCCAUAAGGCAUGGUUCGCAAGCAUCAAGUGAUUCAUAAUCAAGUGAUUCCAAAAUCCCAUCAGCAUGGAGUUUCUUCAUGCGCUUUACACCAAUAUGACCUAAACGGCAGCGCCACAAAUAAGUUGCACUAUCAUUAUUAACUUUGCAUCUUUUUGGCUUCAAUAUUAUGAAUAUGUGUAUCACUACAAUCGAGAUCCAACAAACCAUUUUCAUUGGGUGUAUGACCAUAGAAGGUUUUAUUCAUGUAAAUAGAACAACAAUUAUUCUCUAACUUAAAUGAAUAACCCUAUUGUAAUAAACAUGAUCAAAUCAUAUUCAUGCUCAACGCAAACACCAAAUAACACUUAUUUAGAUUCAACACUAAUCCCGAAAGUUAUAUGGAUUGUGCGAUGAUGAUCAGAUCAAUCUUGGAACUACUUCCAACACACAUCGUCACUUCAUCCUUAACUAGUCUCUGUUCAUUUUGCAACUCCUGUUUUAAGUUACUACUCUUAGCAACUAAACCAGUAUCAAAUACUGAGGGGUUGCUACGAACACUAGUAAAAUACUCAUCAAUAAUCUGUAUUUCAAAUAUACCUUUGUUCACUUUGCCAUCCUUCUUAUCCGCCAAAUACUUGGGGCAGUUCCGCUUCCAGUGACCAGUCCCUUUGCAGUAGAAGCACUUAGUCUCGGGCUUAGGUCCAGACUUGGGCUUCUUUACUUGAGCAGCAACUUUCUUGCCGUUCUUCUUGAAGUUCCCCUUCUAUCCCUUUGCCCUUUUCUUGAAACUAGUGGUCUUGUUAACCAUCUACACUUGAUGCUCUUUCUUUGAUUUCUACCUUCGUCGAUCUCAGCAUCGCGAAGAGCUCGGGAAUUACUUUCGUCAUCCCUUGCAUACUAUAGUUCAUCAUGAAGUUCUACUAACUUGGUGAUGUUGACUAGAGAAUUCUGUCAAUCACUAUUUUAUCUGGAAGAUUAACUCCCACUUGAUUCAAGUGAUUGUAGUACCCAGACUAUCUGAGCACAUGCUCACUGCUUGAGCUAUUCUCCUCCAUAUUUUAGCUAUAGAACUUUUUGGAGACUUCAUAUCUCUCAACUCGGGUAUUUGCUUGAAAUAUUAAAUUCAACUCCUGGAACAUCUCAUAUGGUCCAUGACGUUCAAAACGUCUUUGAAGUCCCGAUUCUAAGCCGUUAAGCAUGGUGCACUAAACUAUCAAGUAGUCAUCAUAUUGAGCUAGCCAAACGUUCAUAACGUCUGCAUUUGCUCCUGCAAUAGGUCUGUCACCUAGCGGUGCAUCAAGGACAUAAUUCUUCAGUGCAGCAAUGAGGAUAAACCUCAGAUCACGGAUCCAAUCCGCAUCAUUGCUACUAACAUUUUUCAACUUAGUUUUCUCUAGGAACACAUAUAAAACAUAGGGAAUCAACAACGCGAGCUAUUGAUUUACAACAUAGAUAUGCUAAUACUACCAAGACUAAGUUCAUGAUAAAUUAAAGUUCAAUUAAUCAUAUUACUUAAAGAACUCCCACUUAGAUAGACAUCCCUCUAAUCUUCUAAGUGAUCACGUGAUCCAUAUCAACUAAACCAUGUCUGAUCAUCACGUGAGAUGGAGUAGUUUCAAUGGUGAACAUCACUAUGUUGAUCAUAUCUACUAUAUGAUUCACGCUCGACGUUUCGGUCUCAGUGUUCCGAGGCCAUAUCUGUUAUAUGCUAGGCUCGUCAAGUUUAACCUGAGUAUUCCGCAUGUGCAACUGUUUUGCACCCAUUGUAUUUGAACGUAGAGCCUAUCACACCCGAUCAUCACAUGGUGUCUCAGCACGAAGAACUUUCGCAACAGUGCAUACUCAGGGAGAACACUUAUACCUUGAUAAUUUAGUGAGAGAUCAUCUUAUAAUGCUACCGUUAAUCAAAGCAAGAUAAGAUGUAUAAAAGAUAAACAUCACACGCAAUCAUAAUAUGUGACAUGAUAUGGCCAUCAUCUUGUGCCUUUGAUCUCCAUCUCCAAAGCAUCGUCAUGAUCUCCAUCGUCACCGGCAUGACACCAUGAUCUCCAUCAUCUUGAUCUAUAUCAAUGUGUCGUCACAUGGUCGUCUCGCCAACUAUUGCUCUUGCAACUAUUGCUAUCGCAUAGCGAUAAAGUAAAGCAAUUAUUUGGCGCUUGCAUCUUAUGCAAUAAAGAGACAACCAUAAGGCUUCUGCCAGUUGCCGAUAACUUUAACAAAACAUGAUCAUCUCAUACAACAACUUAUAUCUCAUCAUGCUUGACCAUAGCACAUCACAACAUGCCCUGCAAAAACAAGUUAGACGUCCUCUACUUUGUUGUUGCAAGUUUUACGUGGCUGCUACGGGCUGAGCAAGAACCGUUCUUACCUACGCAUCAAAACCACAAUGAUAGUUUGUCAAGUUGGUGCUGUUUUAACCUUCGCAAGGACCGGGCGUAGCCACACUCGGUUCAACUAAAGUUGGAGAAACUGACACCCGCCAGCCACCUGUGUGCAAAGCACGUCGGUAGAACCAGUCUCGCGUAAGCGUACGCGUAAUGUCGGUCCGGGCCGCUUCAUCCAACAAUACCGCCGAACCAAAGUAUGACAUGUUGGUAAGCAGUAUGACUUAUAUCGCCCACAACUCACUUGUGUUCUACUCGUGCAUAUAACAUCAAUGCAUAAAACCUGGCUCGGAUGCCACUGUUGGGGAACAUAGUAAUUUCAAAAUUUUCCUACGCACACGCAAGAUCAUGGUGAUGCAUAGCAACGAGAAGGGAGAGUGUUGUCCACGUACCCUCGUAGACCGAAAGCGGAAGCGUUAGCACAACACGGUUGAUGUAGUCGUACGUCUUCAUGAUCCGACCGAUCAAGUACCGAACGCACGACACCUCCGAGUUCUGCACACGUUCAACUCGAUGACAACCCUCGAACUCCGAUCCAGCCGAGCUUUGAGGGAGAGUUCCGUCAGCACGACGGCAUGGUGAUGAUGAUGAUGUUCUACCGACGCAGGGCUUUGCCUAAGCACCGCUACGAUAUUAUCGAGGUGGAUUAUGGUGGAGGGGGCACCGCACACGGCUAAGAGAUCCAAGAGAUCAAUUGUUGUGUCUCCAAGGGGUGCCCCCUCGUAUAUAAAGGAGUGGAGGAGGGGGUGUUGGAAAUAUGCUCUAGAGGCAAUAAUAAAUUGGUUAUUAUUAUAUUUCCUUGUUCAUGAUAAUCGUUUAUUAUCCAUGCUAGAAUUGUAAUGAUAGGAAACUCAGAUACAUGUGUGGAUACAUAGACAACACCAUGUCCCUAGUAAGCCUCUAGUUGACUAGCUCGUUGAUCAAUAGAUGGUUACGGUUUCCUGACCAUGGACAUUGGAUGUCGUUGAUAACGGGAUCACAUCAUUAGGAGAAUGAUGUGAUGGACAAGACCCAAUCCUAAGCAUAGCAUAAAAGAUCGUGUAGUUCGUUUGCUAGAGCUUUUCCAAUGUCAAGUAUCUUUUCCUUAGACCAUGAGAUCGUGUAACUCUCGGAUGCCGUAGGAGUGCUUUGGGUGUACCCAACGUCACAACAUAACUGGGUGACUAUAAAGGUACACUAUGGGUAUCUCUGAAAGUGUCUGUUGGGUUGACACGGAUCGAGACUGGGAUUUGUCACUCCGUAUGACGGAGAGGUAUCUCUGGGCCCACUCGGUAAUGCAUCAUCAUAAUGAGCUCAAUGUGACUAAGGAGUUAGCCACGGGAUCAUGCAUUACGGUACGAGUAAAGUGACUAGCCGGUAACGAGCUUGAACAAGGUAUUGGGAUACCGACGAUCGAAUCUCGGGCAAGUAAAGUACCGAUUGACAAAGGGAAUUGUAUACGGGAUUGAUUGAAUCCUCGACAUCGUGGUUCAUCCGAUGAGAUCAUCGUGGAACAUGUGGGAGCCAACAUGGGUAUCCAGAUCCCGCUGUUGGUUAUUGACCGGAGAGGCGUCUCGGUCAUGUCUGCAUGUCUCCCGAACCCGUAGGGUCUACACACUUAAGGUUCGGUGACGCUAGGGUUGUAGAGAUAUGAGUAUGCGGAAACCCGAAAGUUGUUCGGAAUCCCGGAUGAGAUCCCGGACGUCACGAGGAGUUCCGGAAUGGUCCGGAGGUGAAGAAUUAUAUAUAGGAAGUCAAGUUUCGGCCACCGGGAAAGUUUCGGGGGUCACCGGUAUUGUACCGGGACCACCGGAAGGGUCCCGGGGGUCCAUCGGGUGGGGCCACCUAUCCCGGAGGGCCCCAUGGGCUGAAGUGGGAAGGGAACCAGCCCUUAGUGGGCUAGGGCGUCCCCCAUGGGCCUCCCCCCCGCGCCUAGGGUUGGAAACCCUAGGGUGGGGGGCGCCCCACUUGCCUUGGGGGGUAAGUUUCCCCCUGGCCGCCGCCCCCCUGCAGAUGGGAUCCAGGCCGGCGCCCCCCUCCCAGGGGGCCUAUAUAUAGUGGGGGGGGGGGCGGAGGGCAGCAACAUGACAGCCCCUGGCGCCUCCCUCUCCCCCUGCAACACCUCUCCCUCUCGCAGAAGCUUGGCGAAGCCGUGCCGAGACCCCGCUACUUCCACCACCACGCCGUCGUCCUGCUGGAUCUCCAUCAACCUCUCCUUCCCCCUUGCUGGAUCAAGAAGGAGGAGACGUCGCUGCUCCGUACGUGUGUUGAACGCGGAGGUGCCGUCCGUUCGGCACUCGGUCAUCGGUGAUUUGGAUCACGACGAGUACGACUCCAUCAACCCCGUUCAUUGGAACGCUUCCGCUCGCGAUCUACAAGGGUAUGUAGAUGCACUCCUUUCCCCUCAUUGCUAGUAAACUCCAUAGAUGGAUCUUGGUGAUGCGUAGGAAAAAUUUUGAAUUUCUGCUACGAUCCCCAACAGUGGUAUCAGAGCCAGGUUUAUGCGUAGUUACUAUGCACGAGUAGAACACAAAGCAGUUGUGGGCGUAGAUGUUGCCAAUUCUUCUUGUCGCUACUAGUCUUAUCUUGUUUCGGCGGUAUUGUGGGAUGAAGCGGCCCGGACCAACCUUACACGUACGCUUACGUGAGACAGGUUCCACCGACUGACAUGCACUAGUUGCAUAAGGUGGCUAGCGGGUGUCUGUCUCUCCUACUUUAGUCAGGACGGAUGAAAAGGGUCCUUAUGAAGGGUAAAUAGAAAUUGGCAUAUCACGUUGUGGUUUUACGUAGGUAAGAAACGUUCUUGCUAAAAACCUAUACAAGCCACGUAAAAACUUGCAACAACAAUUAGAGGACGUCUAACUUGUUUUUGCAGCAUGUGCCUUGUGAUGUGAUAUGGCCAGAAGAUGUGAUGAAUGAUAUAUGUGAUGUAUGAGAUUGAUCAUAUUCUUGUAAUAGGAAUCACGACUUGCAUGUCGAUGAGUAUGACAACCGGCAGGAGCCAUAGGAGUUGUCUUUAUUUUUGUAUGACCUGCGUGUCAUUGAAGAAUGCCAUGUAAAUUACUUUACUUUAUUGCUAAACGCGUUAGCCAUAGAAGUAGAAGUAAUCGUUGGCGUGACAACUUCAUGAAGACACAAUGAUGGAGAUCAUGAUGAUGGAGAUCAUGGUGUCAUGCCAGUGACAAAGAUGAUCAUGACGCCCCGAAGAUUGAGAUCAAAGGGGCAGAAUGAUAUUGGCCAUAUCAUGUCACUAUUUGAUUGCAUGUGAUGUUUAUCAUGUUAUGCAUCUUAUUUGCUUAGACUGAUGGUAGUAAGUAAGAUGAUCCCUUAUAAUAAUUUCAAGAAAGUGUUCCCCCUAAUUGUGCACCGUUGCGAAGGUUCGUUGUUUCGAAGCACCACGUGAUGAUCGGUUGUGAUAGAUUCUAACGUUCGAAUACAAUGGGUGUUGACGAGCCUAGCAUGUACAGACAUGGCCUCGGAACACAUGCAAAACACUUAGGUUGACUUGACGAGCCUAGCAUGUACUGACAUGGCCUCGGAACACAAGAGACCGAAAGGUCGAACAUGAGUCGUAUAGUAGAUACGAUCAACAUGAAGAUGUUCACCGAUGAUGACUAGUCCGUCUCACGUGAUGAUCGGACACGGCCUAGUUUGACUCGGAUCAUGUAUCACUUAGAUGACUAGAGGGAUGUCUAUCUGAGUGGGAGUUCAUUAAAUAAUCAGAUGAACUUCAUUAUCAUGAACAUAGUCAAAAGGUCUUUGCAAAUUAUGUCAUAGCUUACGCUUAAGUUCUACUGUUUAAGAUACGUUCCUAGAGAAAAUUUAGUUGAAAGUUGAUAGUAGCAAUUAUGCGGACUAGGUCCGUAAACUGAGGAUUGUCCUCAUUGCUGCACAGAAGGCUUAUGUCCUUAAAUGCACCGCUCGGUGCGCUGAACCUCAACGUCGUCUGUAGAUGUUGCGAAACAUCUGACAUACACGUUUUGAUGACUACGUGAUAGUUCAGUGCGUAAAUGCUAACGGUUUAGAAUUGUGGCACCAAAGACGUUUUUGAAACAUCGCAGAACAUAUGAGAUGUUCCGAAGACUGAAAUUGGGAUUUCAGACUAGUGCCCACGUCAAGAGGUAUGAGACCUCUGACAUGUUUCUUAAGCCUGCAAUCUAAAGGAGAAAAGCUCAAUCGUUGAGCAUGUGCUCAGAUUGUCUGAGUGCCACAAUCGCUUGAAUUGGGUGGGAGUUAAUCUUCCAGAUGAGAUAGUGAUGGUUCUCCAUAGUCACUGCCACCAAGCUAUUAGAGCUUCGUGAUGAACUAUAACAUAUCAGGGAUAGACAUGAUGAUCCUUGAGCAACUCGCGAUGUUUGACACCGCGAAAGUAGAAAUCAAGAAGGAGCAUCAAUUGUUGAUGGUUAGUAAAACCACUAGUUUCAAGAAGGGCAAGGGAAGAAGGGAUACUUCAUGAAACAGCAAAUCAUUUGCUGCUCUAGUAAAGAAUCCCAAGGUUGAACCCAAACCCGAGACUAAGUGCUUCUGUAAUGAGGGGAACGGUCACUGAAGCGGGACUACCCUAGAUACUUGGUAGAUGAGAAGGCAGGCAAGGUCGACAGAAGUAUAUUUGAUAUACAUUAUAUGAAUGUGUACUUUACUAGUACUCCUAGCAGCACCAGGGUAUUAGAUACCGGUUCGGUUGCUAAGAGUUAGUAACUCGAAAUAAAAGCUACGGAAUGAAUGGAGACUAGCUAAAGAUGAGAUGACGAUGUGUGUUGGAAGUGUUUCCAAGGUUGAUGUGAUCAAGCAUCGCAUGCUCCCUCUACCAUCGAUAUUGGUGUUAAACCUAAAUAAUUGUUAUUUGGUGUUUGGGUUGAGCAUAAACAUGAUUGGAUUGUGUUUAUCGCAAUACGGUUAUUCAUUUAAGGAGAAUAAUGGUUACUCUAUUUAUUUGAAUAAUACCUUCAAUGGUCUUGCACCUAAAAUGAAUCUCGAUCGCAGUGAUACACAUGUUCGUGCCAAAAGAUAUAAAAUAGUAAUGAUAAUACCACAUACUUGUGGCACUGCCAUUUGAGUCAUAUUGGUAUAGAACGCAUGAAGAAGCUCCAUGUAGAUGGAUCUUUGGACUCACUCGUUUUUGAAAAGAUUGAGACAUGCAAACCAUGUCUAUUGGUAUAUAUGCAUGAAGAAACUCCAUGCAGAUGGAUCGUUUGGACUCACUUGAUUUUGAAUCACUUGAGACAUGCAAAUCAUACCACAUGGGCAAGAUGACUGAAAGGCCUCGUUUUCAGUAAGAUUGAACAAGCGAGCAACUUAUUGGAAGUAAUACAUUUUGAUGUAUGCAGUCCGAUGAGUGCUGAGGCAUGCAGUGGAUAUCGUUAUGUUCUUACUUCACAGAUGAUUUGAGUAGAUGCUGAGUGUAUUUACUUGAUGAAACACAAGUCUGAAUUAUUGAAAGGUUCAAGUAAUUUCAGAGUGAAGUUGAAGAUCGUCGUGAUAAGAGGAUAUAAUGUCUGUGAUAUGAUCAUAGAGAUGAGUAUCUGAGUUACGAGUUUGGCACGCAAUUAAGACAUUGUGGAAAGUGUUUCACAAUUAAUACCGCCUGGAACACCACAGUGUGAUGGUGUGUCCGAACAUCAUAACUGCACCCUAUUGGAUAUGGUGCAUGCCAUGAUGUCUCUUAUCGAAUUACCACUAUCGUUUAUGGGUUAGGCAUUAGAGAUAACCGUAUUCACUUUAAAAGGGGGCACCACGCAAUUCCGUUGAGACGACACCGUUUAGAGAAACCUAAGCUGUCGUUUCUUAAAAGUUUGGGGCUGCGACGCUUAUGUGAAAAGUUUCAGGCUGAUAAGCUCGAACCCAAAGCGGAUGAAUGCAUCUUCAUAGAAAACCCAAAACAGUUGGGUAUACCUCCUAUUUCAGAUCUGGAAGCAAAAGUAGUUACUUCUAGAAAUGAGUCCUUUCUCGAGGAAAAGUUUCUCUCGAAAGAAUUGAGUGGGAGGAUGGUGGAGACUUGAUGAGGUUAUUGAACCAUAACUUCAACUAGUGUGUAGCAGGGCACAGGAAGUUGUUCCUGUGGCACCUACACCAAUUGAAGUGGAAGCUUAUGAUAGUGAUCAUGAAACUUCGGAUCAAGUCACUACCAAACCUCGUAGGACGACGAGGAUGCAUACUACUUCAGAGUAAUGCGUAAUCCUGUCUUGGAAGUCAUGUUGCUAGACAACAAUGAACUUACGAGCUAUGGAGAAGCGAUGGUGGGCCCAUAUUCCGACAAAUGGUUAGAAGCCAUGAAAUCCGAGAUAGGAUCCAUAUAUCAGAACAAAGCAUGGACUUUGGUGAACUUGCCCGAUGAUCGGCAAGCCAUUAAGAUAAAUGGAUCUUUAAGAAGAAGACGGACAUGGACGGUAAUGUUACCGUCUGUGAAGCUCGACUUGUGGCAAAGAGUAUUUUCACAAGUUCAGGAUGUUGACUACGAUGAGAUUUUUCUCAUCCGUAGCGAUGCUUAAGUCCGUCGGAAUCACGUUAGCAUUAGCUGCAUUUAUGAAAUCUGGCAGACGGAUGUCAAAACAAGUUUCCUUACCAGUUUUCGUAAGGAAAGGUUGUAUGUGAUACAAUCAGAAAGGUUUUGUCGAUCCUAAGGAUGUUAAAAGGUAUGCUAGCUCCAGCGAUCCUUCCGUGGACUAGAGCAAGCAUCUCGGAGUCAGAAUAUAUGCUUUGAUGGAGUGAUCAAAGUUUUUGGGUUUAUACAAAGUUUGUUAGAAACUUGUAUUUACAAUAAAGUGAGUGGGAGCGCUACAACAUUUCUGAUAAGUAUAUGUGAAUGACAUAUUGUUGAUCCGAAAUGAUGUAGAAUUUCUGGAAAGCAUAAAGGGUUGUUUGAAAGGAGUUUUUCAAAGGAUGACCUGGAUAAAGCUGCUUACAUAUUGGGCAUCAAGAUCUAUAGAGAUAGAUCAAGACGCAUGAUGAUACUUUCAAAGAACGCGCACUUUGACAUGAUUUUGAAAGAGUUCAAAAUAGAUCAGCAAAGAAGGAGUUCUUGGCUGUGUUACAAGGUGUGAGUAUUGAGUAAGACUCAAGACCAGACCACAGCAAAAGAGAGAGAAAGGACGAAGGUCGUCCCCUAUGCUUUAGACGUAGGCUCUACAGUAUGCUAUGCUGUGUACCGCACAUGAAGUGGGCCUUGCCAUGAGUUGGUCAAGGGGUACAAUAGUGAUCCGGGAAUGGAUCACAUGACAGCGGUCGAACUUAUCCUUAGUAUUUAGUGGACUAAGGAAUUUUCUCAAUUAUGGAGGUGAAAAGGAGUUCGUCGUAAAGGGUUACGUCGAUGCGAACUUUGACACUAAUCCGGAUGACUCUGAGUAGUAAACCGGAUUCGUAUAGUAGGGCAGUUAUUUGAAAUGGCUCCAAAUAGCGCGUGGUAGCAUCCACAAGAUGACAUAGAUAUUCGUAAACCACACACGGAUCUGAAACGUUCAGACCCGUCGACUAAUAACCUCUCUCACAAGCAUAACAUGAUCAAACCAGAACUCAUUGAGUGUUAAUCACAUAGUGAUGUGAACUAGAUUGUUGACUCUAGUAAACUCUUUGGAUGUUGGCCACAUGGUGAUGUGACCUGUGAGUGUUAAUCACAUGGUGAUGUGAACUAGAUUAUUGACUCUAGUGCAAGUGGUUGACUGUUGGAAAUAUGCCCUAGAGGCAAUAAUAAAUUGGUUAUUAUUAUAUUUCCUUGUUCAUGAUAAUCGUUUAUUAUCCAUGCUAGAAUUGUAUUGAUAGGAAACUCAGAUACAUGUGUGGAUACAUAGACAACACCAUGUCCCUAGUAAGCCUCUAGUUGACUAGCUCGUUGAUCAAUAGAUGGUUACGGUUUCCUGACCAUGGACAUUGGAUGUCGUUGAUAACGGGAUCACAUCAUUAGGAGAAUGAUGUGAUGGACAAGACCCAAUCCUAAGCAUAGCAUAAAAGAUCGUGUAGUUCGUUUGCUAGAGCUUUUCCAAUGUCAAGUAUCUUUUCCUUAGACCAUGAGAUCGUGUAAAUGCCGGAUGCCGUAGGAGUGUUUUGGGUGUACCCAACGUCACAACAUAACUGGGUGACUAUAAAGGUACACUACGGGUAUCUCUGAAAGUAUCUGUUGGGUUGACACGGAUCGAGACUGGGAUUUGUCACUCCGUAUGACGGAGAGGUAUCUCUGGGCCCACUCGGUAAUGCAUCAUCAUAAUGAGCUCAAUGUGACUAAGGAGUUAGCCACGGGAUCAUGCAUUACAGUAGGAGUAAAGUGACUUGCCGGUAACGAGAUUGAACAAGGUAUUGGGAUACCGACGAUCGAAUCUCGGGCAAGUAAAGUACCGAUUGACAAAGGGAAUUGUAUACGGGAUUGAUUGAAUCCUCGACAUCGUCGUUCAUCCGAUGAGAUCAUCGUGGAACAUGUGGGAGCCAACAUGGGUAUCCAGAUCCCGCUGUUGGUUAUUGACCGGAGAGGCGUCUCGGUCAUGUCUGCAUGUCUCCCGAACCCGUAGGGUCUACACACUUAAGGUUCGGUGACGCUAGGGUUGUAGAGAUAUGAGUAUGCGGAAACCCAAAAGUUGUUCGGCGUCCCGGAUGAGAUCCCAGACGUCACGAGGAGUUCCGGAAUAGUCCGGAGGUGAAGAAUUAUAUAUAGGAAGUCAAGUUUCGGCCACCGGGAAAGUUUCGGGGGUCACCGGUAUUGUACCGGGACCACCGGAAGGGUCCCGGGGGUCCACCGGGUGGGGCCACCUAUCUCGGAGGGCCCCAUGGGCUGAAGUGGGAAGGGAACCAGCCCUUAGUGGGCUAGGGCGCCCCCCAUGGGCCUCCCCCUGCGCCUAGGGUUGGAAAUCCUAGGGUGGGGGGCGCCCCACUUGCCUUGGGGGGUAAGUUUCCCCCUGGCCGGCGCCCCCCCUUGCAGAUGGGAUCCAGGCCGGCGCCCCCUCCCAGGGGGCCUAUAUAUAGUGGGGCGGAGGGAGGGCAGCAAUAUGACAGCCCCUGGCGCCUCCCUCUCCCCCUGCAACACCUCUCCCUCUCGCAGAAGCUUGGCGAAGCCCUGCCGAGACCCCGCUACUUCCACCACCACGCCGUCGUGCUGCUGGAUCUCCAUCAACCUCUCCUUCCCCCUUGCUGGAUCAAGAAGGAGGAGACAUCGCUGCUCCGUACGUGUGUUGAACGCGGAGGUGCCGUCCGUUCGGCACUCGGUCAUCGGUGAUUUGGAUCACGACGAGUACGACUCCAUCAACCCCGUUCAUUGGAACGCUUCCGCUCGCGAUCUACAAGGGUAUGUAGAUGCACUCCUUUCCCCUCGUUGCUAGUAAACUCCAUAGAUGAAUCUUGGUGAUGCAUAGGAAAUUUUUUGAAUUUCUGCUACGAUCCCCAACAGGGGGAGGGCCGGCCCUCUCUAUGGCACGCCCUAGGAGGAGUCCUACUCCCACCGGGAGUAGGAUUCCCCCCUUCCAAGUAGUAGGAGUAGGAGUCAAGGAAAGGGAAGAGGAAAGAGAAGGAAGGAGGGGGCGCCGCCCCUCCCCUUAGUCCAAUUCGGACUAGUCAAUGGGGGGGCGCGCGGCCUGCCUCUCCCUCUCCCCUAAAGCCCAAUAAGGCCCAUAUACUUCUUCCCCCGUAUUCCCGUAACUCCCCGGUACUCCGAAAAAUACCCGAACCACUCGGAACCUUUCCGAUGUCCGAAUAUAGUCGUCCAAUAUAUCGAUCUUUAUGUCUCGACCAUUUCGAGACUCCUCGUCAUGUCCCAGAUCUCAUCCAGGACUCCGAACUACUUUCGGUACAUCAAAACACAUAAACUCAUAAUAUAACCGUCAUCGAACUUUAAGCGUGCGGACCCUACGGGUUCGAGAACAAUGCAGACAUGACCGAGACACGUCUCCGGUCAAUAACCAAUAGCAGAACCUGGAUGCUCAUAUUGGCUCCCACAUAUUCUACGAAGAUCUUUAUCGGUCAAACCGCAUAACAACAUACGUCACUACUAGGAAAAGGGCUAUAGAUGAAAUGGCCACUAAUGGCGCACCAGACAUGUGGUGCGCCACUACUAUAUAGCAGUGGCGCACCAUGUGCUGGUGCGCCAUUAGUGUGAAACACUAAUGGCGCACCAGACACACGGUGCGCCACUAGUAACAAUUUUUUUUAAUUAUUUUUCCAAACAUACUAAUGGCGCACCAGGGCACAGUGCGCCAUUACUAGUUCUAACUAGUAAUGACGCACCAGCCACAUAGUGCGCCACUAUUAUAUUUUUUUUGCAAAACUACUAAUGGCGCACCAGGGUAUAGUGCGCCAUUACUAGUUUAAACUAGUAAUGGCGCACUGUGCCCUGGUGCACCAUUAGUGUAUAUAUAUAUAUUUUUUUUUUGCAAAACUACUAAACUACUAAUGGCGCACCUACUGGUGGUGCGCCAUUAGUAACCUGGGACCAGCUAGAUAUUUUGGACAGCCACACCUACCCACUCACUUUCCCCACUUCAUUCUCUCCACCUCCUCCUCCAAGCUUGUCUCGGCUGCCUCCUCCUCCUCACCACAUUUGCACCAUAGAUUCAUCCAAAUUAAGUGGUUAAAUUACCUUUUUUUUAUAAGUAAGUAAGGGGGAAGCUAUCUCUAUGUUGUUCUCCCUCCAACAACGUGCACAUGCACUUUUUAUGGCCUAGCUAAAUCUAUGUAUGUUUGUGGUGUUGCAUAUGUUUGUGCUGUUGCAUAUGUUUGUGGUGUUGCAUAUAUGUUUGUGUUUGCAGGUACCGGUAUUUGAAAUGCGAUAGUUGCCAAUAUUUUGCCGGAAUGUUGAUUCAUUUCCGUUUCGGCGAGAAUUUUGGCACUAUGCAUUCUUUUUGGUCCUAUUUUUAGGGAAAGUCAUGCCAAAUUUUUUCUUGGUUCUAAAAUAUCGUUUUGCUCUACCCCGCAGGCGACCAUGGUCCACACGAUGACCGAAGGCAUCGUGAAUAGGUUUUUGAGCUCCGCGAAGGCCGAGAUGCUUCAAAAGAACGAGACGGAGAUAAGAUGUCCGUGUCGAAGAUGCAAGCUGAAGAGCCUUAUUGCGGACCCGGAUUCCGGACAGGUGCGGGAGCACCUGCUCUUGCGUGGUUUCAUGGAUGGCUAUCGGUGGCAAGGUGAUGAAGAUGACUAUGAAGUCGUCCAUGGGGGCCGGGCAAGAAAUGAGGAAGGGCAGCAAGACAACCACCGCGGCUCGGGCGGGCGAGAAGACGAAGAAUCUCCAGGACAUGAUCACGACAGUGAUGCUGUACACAGUCAUCAUGUAGAAGAUGCCGGACAUGAUGAUGAGGAAGAUGCCGGAGCAGAUGAAGGGCAUGCUCAUGAAGAUGAAGAUGCCGGCGGAGCAGACGACGAUGGACCAUCGAUGGGCUGGGUGCAGGACCCUCAUAUUCAAGAGCUGCUUCUCAAGCAGACGGAUAACGCAAGAGCUGCCGCCCGAGAGAAAGCCAAGCUGGAUCAACUAGAGAUAGACGCGGUUACUCCAUUGUAUGAAGGAUGCAGGCCCGAGGAUACCCGCCUGAAAGUAACGCUCAUGGCUCUGGAGAUGAAGGUAAAACACAAAAUGACCGACGCAUGCUUCGACGAGAACAUGUCAUUCUGGCACGAACGUCUUCCCAAGGGGAACAAUUGCCCGACCAGUUUCAAGGAGGCGAAGAAAAUCGUGUGUCCUCUGGAUUUACCGCACGUGAAACACCAUGUGUGCAUGAACAAUUGCAUCAUUUAUCGGGACGAGCACGCGGAGUCUACCAUAUGUCCGGUGUGCGGCGUCACUCGAUACAAGAAGAGGAAGGAAGCUCCUCGAAAAGUGGUGUGGUACUUUCCGAUCACUCCUCGUCUACAGCGGUAUUUCGCGGACCCUAAGGUAGCAAAGCUCCUGCGUUGGCACGCGGAUAGGGAGGAGAAGAAGCGAGAAGAUGACGCAAAUGAUCCGGAGAUAAAUAAAAAAGACAAGAUGCUGAGUCACCCUAAGGAUGGGAGCCAGUGGCAAGCGUUGAACUUCGAACACCCAGAAUUUGGGAAGGAUCCAAGGAACAUCGUGCUGGGCGCGAGCACUGAUGGAGUCAAUCCGUUUGGCAGCCAGAGAAGCACACAUAGCACCUGGCCUGUGUUUGUGUGGAUGUACAACCUCCCCCCCUGGUUGUGCAUGAAGAGGAAGUACAUUCACAUGAGUAUGCUAAUUGAAGGGCCGAAACAACCAGGGAACGACAUCAAUCUGUAUCUGGGGCUGCUGAAAGAGGAGCUAGACACGCUGUGGAAAACGCCAGGCAAUACGUGGGACGCCGCAGAGAAAGAAUAUUUCCCUAUGAGAGCCGCACUGCUCACGACGGUGCACGACUAUCUCGGUUACGGAUAUCUCGCGGGGCAGGUGGUCCACGGAUUUUCUGGAUGCGUCUGGUGCAUGGAUGACACAACGUAUCGUCAGCUAGAUAGAGAUCCCUGGUCUUCGAAAACCGUGUUCAUGGGACAUCGAAGGUGGCUUCGCGACGAUGACCCAUGGAGGAAAUGCAAGGAUCUGUUCGAUGGUGAAACCGAACCCCGAAUACGCCCGCGUACGAGGAGCGGCGAGGAAAUAGGCGAGCUGUUGAAAAAUUGGAAAGAUUGCCCACUGCCGGGAAAGAAGCAAAAGGCGCCAGAGCCGCUGCUGAAGGUAUGGAAAACGAGGUCUGUUUUCUGGGACUUGCCGUACUGGAAGAUCCACCGUGUGCCUCAGAGCCUUGAUGUCAUGCAUAUCACGAAGAACGUGUGCGAGAGUCUGCUUGGUACCCUGCUCAACAUGCGAGAGAGGACCAAAGAUGGGCCGAAAACAAGGGCAGACUUGAAAUCAAUGGGCAUCAGGGAGGAGCUUCACGCUAAUGAUGAUGAUGAUGAUGAUGAUGGGAAGCAGGACACGGAAAGUCGUCGCAAAGGCAAAAAGGCCAAGAAGACCGGAAAUGACUACCCUCCCGCGUGCUUCACUCUAAGUCAGGAGGAGAUCGAUCAGUUUUUCACCUGCCUCAUAGGAGUAAAACUUCCUUAUGGUUACGCGGGGAAGAUAAGCAGAUACCUAGACCCAGCGAAGCAGAAGUUCAGCGGGAUGAAGUCUCACGACUGUCACGUGCUGAUGACGCAGAUACUUCCAGUUGCAAUCCAUGGGAUCAUGGACGCGCACGUCCGUGAAACGCUAUUUGGCCUAUGCAACUUUUUCGACGUCAUCUCUCGGAAGUCGGUUGGCGUGAGGCAACUCAGAAGGCUACAGGAAGAGAUCGUGGUGAUACUAUGCGAGCUUGAGAUGUACUUCCCGCCCGCAUUCUUCGACGUUAUGGUGCAUCUGCUGGUCCAUAUCGUGGAGGAUAUCAUCCAACUCGGGCCGACGUGCCUGCACAACAUGAUGCCGUUCGAAAGGAUGAAUGGUGUCAUCAAAGGAUACGUUCACAACAUGGCACGUCCAGAGGGAAGCAUAGCCAGGGGCUUUCUGACCGAAGAGUGUAUCUCCUACUGCACGAAUUAUCUAGGCAUCGAGAACCCCGUUGGCCUGCCCGUCAACAGGCACCUGGCAGGCUCGCUGGAUGGGGUCACCGUGAGGGUCGCCGCGAAAUGCAUGUUGACUUCGAGGGUCGACUCGCCGACUUUGAAAGAGCAAACCUAGUCGCGCUACAACACAUAGACGUGGUCGAUCCUUGGGUGGUAGAGCACAAAACCUUUAUUGAGAAGACGUACAAUGACCGAGGCCAACAGAGGACGGACGGAGAUAUAAUCAAAGAGCACAACUCAUGUUUCACGCGUUGGUUCAAGCAGAAGCUUCUGUCGUACCCUUUACAUGAGGAUUCUUCUGCGGAAGAACAACUCAUAUUCACCUUGUCACAGGGCGCCGAGCACAACCUGAUGACGUAUGAGGCGUACGAUAUCAACGGCUACACAUUCUACACCGAGGACAAGGACAUGAAGAGCGAUGGUUAUCAGAACUCCGGGGUAACGAUGGAAUCCUACACCGGUAACGACAAGGACAGAUACUACGGAAGGAUCGAGGAGAUCUGGGAGCUGAGCUACGCUGGAGAGAAGGUCCCGAUGUUCUGUGUCAGAUGGGCCAAGAGCGUCAUAAAAGAAGACCAGUAUUUCACCACCAUGGUUAUACCCGGAGCCAAAUCCAAGACCGCAGGCGCGAACGUCACCGCGAAAAAUGAGCCAUGGGUACUGGCUUCCCAAGUGGACCAAUGCUUCUUCAUUACCGACCCGUCAAAGCCCAGUCGUGUUGUCAUGAGGAGAGGCAAAAGGAAGAUCAUCGGAAUGGAUGGAGUCGCCAAUGAGCAAGACUUCGACAAGUACGGCGACCCGAAGAUGGAACAUGACGACGACGAUGAAGUAUCAGCAUACACCACAAGAAGAAGCAGGACCACCCUACCUAAAGGACGUUCGUUCAAGAGAAGAACUCCAUUUACGAAAAAUAAGGGCAAGAAGAUUGUGAACAGAUAGCUAGCUAAGAUCGAUUGUAUUUAAAUUGUAGCCUUCAUUUCUCGAUUGUAUUUCAUGGGCACUUUUUGAACUCAUGAAUAUUUUGAAAUUUCAUGGGCACUUUUUGAAUUCAUGAAUAUUUUUUCAAAUUUGAUGAUAUUUUUUCAUAUUCAAUAUGAAAAAAUAUUGAAUAUUCAUGAGGACACUCGAUCUCGAUCCCCCUCCAUCUCGAUCGCUAUCCCACCUCGCCAGAUCCCCCUCGCCGUCGAGCACCCCCCGCACCCUCUCCCCCGCUCCACCGCCGCCGACGACCCACCGCACCCUCCCCCGCUCCACCGCCGCCGACGACCCCCCCACACCCUCCCCCGCUCCACUAUUUUUCAGAUUAUCAUGACACCGCUGAGAAAAGUUAUGAGCGGAGCUGGAAUCUUUGCCCAUGUGAGUUAAGAAAGCACAUUCGUUUCCAUCAUUCACCUUCUUCCAAUUAUUAAAUCCCUUGACUGUGAAUGCAUCAGAGCCACACCUUCCACUUGGCCAUUUUGUGAAGAGAAAACAAGGUAGGCAGUACGCACGAUGUGUUUCCAUCGAAUACUCAAGCCAAGGAAAAGAAUUGAAAUAACUGUAUUGAAAUUGACGACGAUUUUUUCCUGUUUUAUUAUAUGGAUAUUCUCUCAUGUAUGGUUGAUAAGCUCCCUUCAAAAUAUAGAAGCGGCGUGCUUCUUCUUGCUCAUCCUGAGGGAGUUCCCAAAAUUGCUGGCGCAUACCGGGGUCCCUUACAUAUUUUGUGGUUCCAUUUGUAUCUUCUCCUGCUGCAACUUCUUCCGGUGCCACAACCUGUUGCUCAUCAGUUUGGAUAUCAACAAAAAUAUCAUUUGCUUGGUUAUCUGCAACAGGUUGCUCCUCAGAUGGAAACACAUUUUCGGCACGAGUAAUGUUGGAGCUUGAAGUUGACCCAACUGGCUUGAAAAAGGAAUUUAUCCCCCCAGUUGUUGGUGCCUUUCGCUUCUUCAUUGACAACUACAUAGAAAGGAAAACCAUGAUUAAUAGAUUAAUUCACUAUUUUGUAGACAACACUAACGCACCAGAUUAGGAUAGUAGGAUUUUAAUUCAUAAUAAGUUAAUAAAUGAUAGCUACAAGUACGUACUGGUACAUUCCUCUAUCUGAUCUUCCUUUCUCCCUGUAAAACUCUGAUCUAAUGAAGCCUCCUCCUCUUUCCUUACUCCUUAGACACUGGACAAACAACGGACAAAGACGACAGAUCAGCACAGCCGAUAGGGUAGGGACGGAGGCGUGGUGAGCGCCUUACCUGAGCGGGAGCAGCAGCCGGGCAACCGGCGGCUGGGCGGCAGCGGCAAACAACGCCCUAGUGCAAGGACAUGAUCAAUGGAUCGAUCGAUCGCAUGGGGCAAACAACAAAAGGCAGCCACGACCACAUGACAAUGACAUGGGCUAUUGGGCUUUCCGUCUAGGAUAGUUACUAUAUUAGCAUCCAUAUGGGCUAAUGAUGUGAUUAUCUCCGGCCAAUUAGCGCAUAUACAGUAUACUACCUAUACUACUACUACCUGCUAGAAAUCGUUGGGUUGAGCCCCCGAGUCUGGCGCCGUCCAUGGCCUUGGUCGUCCUCCACUCCCCUGUACCAAGUGCCGGGCUCGAUGCGAGGGAGGGGUGUACCAUCAUCGGAGUCAGAGGAGGGCAGCCCGCUCUGCGCGAAGUGCAAAGAGUCUACUAUUCACCAUAUGUGACCAUGUCUGUCUUAGUUAACCAUUUUGUUUGCUACGAAGGAAAUAGUUCGAGUAUAAUUACAAAUUAGUGCAAUGCAUGUGAACGGAGAUGUAGCUCAAUUGGUACAACACUAAUCUAUGUUGGAUAGAGGAACGGAGAUGCGUACCUCGCAUAUCCAAUUAAUAUUUUGCUUAUUGUUUUGUCAAUCACUGUCAUUUUCCCUGAAAAAACUACGCCUUGAAAGCCCACAGGCUAAAACCCCGACAAAUAAUGAAUUUUUGUCAUGUUUUUUCCCGAUACCAAUUGGGUAUCCAUUGAAUAAUUAUUUUAGAAAAGAAUAAAUAUUACCAUAAUACGAUGAUGUGGAUCUUUUCACAUUUGUUAAUUUCUACUACUCCGUUCGGAAUUAAUUGUCGUAGAAAUGGAUAAAAAUGAAUGUAUAUAGAACUCAAAUAUGUCUAGAUACAUUCAUUUUCUCUGACAAGUAUUUCGCGACGGAGGGGGUAUUAUUUGCUGGCAAAUAUUGAACUGGUGUACUGCUGUACGUUUCAAAGCAGCAAGCAAGGAUUCGAGUACCCAAAUACCGUAGCAGCCAAAAAGCUAGCCUGAACCUUCGUGGAACUUUCGUGGGGCCCAUUUUCAGUGGCCUUGCGUUACCACCACCCCACCGCUUUCCUUCAUGUGAUCCGCCCCUCCCCCAAUACGUCACACGCCUAUCUCCUCUCUAUAAAGGAUUGAGUAUUCUGCCCACAGGCCACAGCCAUUACCACGCCUCGCACAAUUGUCGCCAGGCAAGACAAGGGGAGGGUCUCUGACAGCUAGCAAGAGAGCAAGGCGAUGGCAAUGGCGGACGAGCAGUACGACGCUGGCCCGCCCGGGGCGCCGCACUUAUUGUUGCUGGCGGUGGUGGUGGGGCUGCUGGUUGCGUGGCCGCUUUUCCUGGGUGGCAGCCGCGAGGCGGUCAUCGAUGUCAUCGCCAAUGCAAUCGCCGAGCAGCUCGGCCCCGUGGGCCUGCUCCUCCUCCCGCUGGGGCUCCUCCUCCUCAUCCACCUCCUCUCCUCCGACGGCGGCUCGCCCGACGCCGUGUACCAUGUCGGGGGAUCCCCCAUCGGCGUGGCGCUCGUGCUGGUCCUCAUCCUCGCCCUCCUCUACUACCGGUCGGCACUCUUCGGCAGCGGCGGAGACGACGACAAGUAGGCGCCUGCCAGUAGGUAGAGUCUCAUCUCGGGGUGGCUGGUUGGGUUUUCUUUUCCAUGUGCUUGUUCUCUUCCGCCUCUCCUCGUCGUCGGUAGUCAUGCAUCCUGCACCACCGGCCAGCAGGCAGCAGUAAAUAACAAAGUGACAACUUUGCGUUUAACCUGUUCCAAGUGUUGCAUUCUAAUCUUGGUUCUACUGGCAUCCAUCUCACGCGCCCAAAGACAGACAAACAAAAAGUUGGAACUGAAUUUGACGUGGUCUGUGUCUUUUGGAUCGAUAGUGAGAUGCUGCAACUGCAUGCCUCGUGCCGUCUAGUGUACUACUCCAAAAAGCUCAUGGUGUUCAGUUUGUUGAUAGUAGCUGAAAAUGAAAACAUAACUUUGAAUCUCCAAAAGGAAAAAAUGAAAAGAAAAUGGCAAUUGGAAGUCAGUUUCACGGGUUGUUUAGCUGAAACAUCCAUGUACUAACAAGUGACGAUAAACUCAUCCUAGGCACCAACGUAGCUUGCUUACUACUUUGUGGUGUCUAAUGGUUCCUCUUUUCAAAUAGACGCACUUCUCUGUUCUCGGUGUACUGGAUCGGGCUCAGGUACUCGUGAGUCAUGAGUGACACGGUGGGGGGUUCCGCGGGUGUACUGAUGUGAUUUGGAAGCAAACUAGAAGCAACAUGCGCGCUUUCCUGCGCCCGCGGACAGGAGCGCAGCAUGUACUGCACCUUCUAUGAACAGUAAAUUCAAAAAAAUUGAAAACAAAAUCAUAAAAAACUGAAACUUUGAAACAUCAAACAUGAAACAUCGACGUACCAACAAAGUUUCAGCCUCAAAUAACAUUCGAGGAGCCCUCGCCCAAACAAACGAAAAUCAGUGUUCAAAGUUUUUGUGCACUUUUGAGUAGUAUUUUUAUGCAAAAAGGAUGCCACUCGAAUUGUAAAAAAAGACCACCCCUGGAUGAAAUUGGCGGAAAAGACCCCCUAGGCUAUGACGGUAGGCGCACCAGCCGACACGUGGCACCUGCCGCCACGGUAGGAGGCGGCCGCCCAUGCCGCCACGGCGCCAGGCGGCAGGCUGCCCAGAACAGGAAUCUGCGAUCGCCGACGGAACGGAGGCCGGGUGGUGGGCCCUGCUGCCACACCACCAGGCGGUAGGUAUUAUUCCUAUUGCGCGCGACGCGACAGGCUGCACUGCUGUCGGUUGGUGGCGUUUGACGUUUCUGCCGGCACUAAUUGCAGUGUUUUGGAUCAUGCGUAAUUCCUGCCUAAAAUUUCAUCCAUUCACCUAUUUUCCCGCCAUCAUAUUGUCAUCUGAGCCUAUAAAACGAUGCAUUAAGCCUCUCUUCAUUAAACAUCCAGCCACCCUCGGAAUCGUCACUGCUCUUAUUGUGUCACCAUAUUUUUAGUCGUUAUGAGUUUGCCUUGCUCAAACCAAAGUAUUAGGCCGAGGAAAAUGAAAAAUGCGAGUUUGCAUCUAGGGGUUAAAGUCCUACAAUAUUGGUGUGGCGAUCUGUGCAAGGUGAAGGAGGUGACACAUUUUUCGGAUUGGUUGGGCAUGAAGUUUUUCAUGUGCGCCAAUUAUGAGGAAGAUUCACCCGUAGCUAGUUCACCGUACGACAAGCCUCCAGUAUGCUUUAACCAUCAUGAACAGAGAUAUUAUUGGUUUUUUGGUUGAUUUUUUAUUGACAUUCUUGUUCUUGCUGUAGUCUCCUCCGCCUCUAUGCAUGUACUACCUUUGGAUUAUUACGGAGAAAGAAAGGGCUCUUGAGGCCAAGGCAGCAGAAGAAGCUGGAGAUGGAAAAUGAAAAUAGCCACGCUAGACUCAGUAGAUUUCUGUGGUAGUAUCUUAAAUUUCGGAACCGUUUGGAUCUUAAUUUCAGGAGUUUAAUGUAGGUUUCUUUCAGUAGUUCAAUGUGGCUUUAUUUCAAAAGUUCAAUGUAUCCUACUUUCAGUAGUUCAAUGUCGCUUUAUAUCAAAAUUUCGGAACCGUUUGUAUCUUAAUUUCAGCAGUUUAAUGUAGGUUUCUUUCUGCCUGUUUUUUCCGCCAUUUUUCCUCGUCAUAAAUUCUUCCUGCCAUUUAUUAGGACCAAAUUUCCUGCCACCAAUUUUUCCCGCCAUUUUCUUUCCCGCCUUAUCUUUUGCAUGGAGAACUCUAUAAAAUCAACCCCUAGCAUGUUGUGUUCUGUAUCUUUCCAUCGCCAUUUAUCUAGCCAUGUCCGGUGCCAACUCGAAGAGACGUCCCCAGAGUGCCGCAUCAGCUAGGGUUGCUGCAAUCUCAAAGAAAGUGAGCGUAGACGAUGAUGAAGAAUUUAUGCCAGGCAAGCAAGCUCAAAACAAAUCCAAGGGCUGAGUUGCAUCAGGUAAGGGGGGCGCUAGCUUUAAGCACUUGAAGACGAUGGUGACGACGACUUCAGACCGAGCAAAAGAGCUCAGAACAGAUCCAAGGGUAGUGCAAGCUCGAAGAGGAGUAAGUCAGGUAAGAGUGUUGCGCCAACGAAGGGCGCUGAUGCUGAUUACGAUUCUACUGAUGACUUUAUGCUAGGGAAACUAGUUCAGGUAACAUUUGGAUGCAAUCAUCAAGACCUAUGGAAGGCCCAUGUUAGCGAGAAUAGUGAGGAUGACUUCAUGUAGUUUCUGUAUGACAAUGCAUCAGCAUUGUGUUGUAUCUUUAUUUGAGAUGUACUACUUUAAUGUCAUAAUUCAGAUGCAUUUUUAUUUCCUCAUACAUAGAUGUCAAGUCUGAAACUAUCAUAGAUAGAUAGAAUAGCCCGCACACAUAGAUGACAAAUCACCCUCCUCGACGACGGCCAGCUGGCCUUUCCCGACGACCGGAAGGCGACAAGCGAUUAGGUGGUCGAUUUGGACGAAGACCACGGCCAUAGUGCCCCUCGUCUCGAUGUGUCUGCGACUCCCGCAUAGGUGGUGGAGUCUGCGACUCCCGCAUAGGUGGUGGAGUCUGCAAUCCAUAUUGAGAUCCUGAUGCAAAAUUGUAGGUGUUUGGUUUGGACUCCAGACGGAUAUAAGAUGGGCCAGUAACGUUCCCAUGGAAGAAGUUUGUAAUUAUUCCUGAAACCGUGUUGCCAGGAUCAAGGGAUGAUAUGAGGAUGCCUGUGUUCAGGCCACGCUCGGUGCCAUCACCAUGCCAUGUAGGAUCAGUAUUUUCCUACGCAGAAAGAAACCGAUUUUAAUUCAGCGGAACAUAAUUCAGCGGCGCCGUAGCGUUGUGAUCCCUCGCCUCCCGUGUAUGGUCAUUGUUCGCCGUACUGGUAAGAAAAUUGUUAUGAAAAUAAACCGUUAGAGGAUAAUAUAUGAUAUCAUUGUAAAUGCAUAAAAACUGCAAACAGGAGUACCCACAGAGAUCCAUCGCCUCCGGUGUAUUGCAAUUGUCCAUCGUACUGGUUUAUCUUUGUCAAACGAGUCUCCUCGGGCAUCGAGUCCCUCAUGUGGCGAGAUACAGCUGAGAUGCCUCGCCAUGGGUGUAUGCGCCAUGUCCUGUGUACGCAUUUGGGUCAGGAAAACGAGUCAUUUUGGGCAUAGAACCCAAGCCCGCACCAUGUUCCUGGGAUGUAUGCCCCUGACGGCGUACUAGUAAAGGACUACUCAAAAUCACAAAAAUCUGAACCUUUGGAACAUCAAACAUGAUAAAACAUUCGACGUACUACAAAGUUUCAGUCUUUAAAUAACAUUCGAGGAGCCCUCACCUAAAAAAACUAAACCAGUGUUCAAAGUUUAUGUGCACUUUUGAGCAGUAAUUUUAUUUUUAGGCAUCCUCGAUUGUUAUUAGUGGCUAAAAAUUUGCAAGAACUUCAAAAGUUUGAUCAUAUUUGGUCCCCCAAAUUUUUUUAUUUUCAUUUUUUAUAGUUUUUUUGAAUUUACUGUUCAUGAAGGUGUAGGGGCACCCGGGAGAUGUAACACCUUUCUCAAACUAUAUUCGUGAUUUGCUUGAACCUUCAUACUUAUGUUUAGUUUCUAUAUGUGUGUAGUUUAUAUAUAGUUGUAAUGUGAACUAGAAUUGCAUAAGUUAAAGAAAUAAAAUUAUACUCCGUUAUAUUUAGGAGAUCGGCUAGGUCCGUCCAAAAGUUUGUGGAGUAAAUAUACUCCACUAACUCUACUAGGUCCGUCCAAUAAUGUUGACCUAAAGUUCUAAGAAGAAAAACUAGUCUGAACUUUCUUGGAACUUUCCUGGUGCCCACUUUCAGUAGCCUUACGUUACCACCAUCCCACCACUUUUUUCCUUCAUGUGAUAUCCGCUGCGCUCCGCUGCGCUAGUCACACUCCCACCCCUCUCUAAAGGCUUGAGUACCCUACCCACUGGCCACAACCAUUACCACGCCUGGCACAAUUGUCGCCAGGUGAGACAAGGAUUGCUAGCAAGAGAGCAAGGAGGUGUCAAUGGCGGACAAGCAGUACUUCGCUGGCCCGUGCGGGGCGCCACAUGGGCUGCUGCUGGCGGUGGUGGUGGGGCUACUGGUUGCGUGGCCGCUUUUCGUGGGUGCCCGCGGCGAGGCGGUCACCGAUGCCAUCGCCGAGCUGCUCGGCCCCGUGGGCCUGCUCCUCCUCCCCGUCGGGCUCCUCCUCCUCAUCAGCCUCCUCUCCUCGGAUUGCGGCCCUGGCGUGUUCGCGUUCGGCGGCUCGCCCGACACCAUGCACCACGUCGGGGGAUCCCCCAUCGGCGUGGCGGUCAUGCUGAUCCUCAUCCUCGCCCUUCUCUACUACCGGUCCAUGCUCUUUGGCGGCGGCGGAGACGACGACGAGUAAGCGCCUGCCAGUAGGUAGAGUCUCAUCUCGGGGUGGCUGGCUGGUCUGGUUGGUUGGUACUAGAGUCUAAUGCCAGCAGUAAAUAAGUGACAACUUUGCGUUUAACCUGUUCCAAGUGUUGCAUUCCAAUCUUGGUCCAACUGGCAUCCAUCUCUCCCGAAGACAAAAAAAGUUGGAACUGAAUUUGACCUGGUCUGUGUCUUUUGAACCGAUAGUGAGACGCUAGCUGCAACUGCCUCGUACCGUGUAGAGUGUACUACUCCAAAAAGAUGAUGGUGUUCUGCUGAUAGUAGCUGAAAAUGAAAACAUAACUAUGAAUCUCCAAAAGGAUGAAAAAGAAAAAGAAAAUUGGCAAUUUGAAGAAAUUUCACAUGUUGUUUAGCUGAACCAUCCGUGCACUAACAAGUGACGAUAAACUCAUCCUAGGCACGAAUGUAGCUUGCUUACUACAUCGUGGUAUCUU